UUAAAUUGAAGAGUUUGAUCAUGGCUCAGAUUGAACGCUGGCGGCAGGCCUAACACAUGCAAGUCGAACGGUAACAGAAAGCAGCUUGCUGCUUUGCUGACGAGUGGCGGACGGGUGAGUAAUGUCUGGGAAACUGCCUGAUGGAGGGGGAUAACUACUGGAAACGGUGGCUAAUACCGCAUAACGUCGCAAGACCAAAGAGGGGGACCUUCGGGCCUCUUGCCAUCAGAUGUGCCCAGAUGGGAUUAGCUUGUUGGUGAGGUAACGGCUCACCAAGGCGACGAUCCCUAGCUGGUCUGAGAGGAUGACCAGCCACACUGGAACUGAGACACGGUCCAGACUCCUACGGGAGGCAGCAGUGGGGAAUAUUGCACAAUGGGCGCAAGCCUGAUGCAGCCAUGCCGCGUGUAUGAAGAAGGCCUUCGGGUUGUAAAGUACUUUCAGCGGGGAGGAAGGUGUUGUGGUUAAUAACCGCAGCAAUUGACGUUACCCGCAGAAGAAGCACCGGCUAACUCCGUGCCAGCAGCCGCGGUAAUACGGAGGGUGCAAGCGUUAAUCGGAAUUACUGGGCGUAAAGCGCACGCAGGCGGUCUGUCAAGUCGGAUGUGAAAUCCCCGGGCUCAACCUGGGAACUGCAUUCGAAACUGGCAGGCUUGAGUCUUGUAGAGGGGGGUAGAAUUCCAGGUGUAGCGGUGAAAUGCGUAGAGAUCUGGAGGAAUACCGGUGGCGAAGGCGGCCCCCUGGACAAAGACUGACGCUCAGGUGCGAAAGCGUGGGGAGCAAACAGGAUUAGAUACCCUGGUAGUCCACGCCGUAAACGAUGUCUACUUGGAGGUUGUGCCCUUGAGGCGUGGCUUCCGGAGCUAACGCGUUAAGUAGACCGCCUGGGGAGUACGGCCGCAAGGUUAAAACUCAAAUGAAUUGACGGGGGCCCGCACAAGCGGUGGAGCAUGUGGUUUAAUUCGAUGCAACGCGAAGAACCUUACCUGGUCUUGACAUCCACGGAAGUUUUCAGAGAUGAGAAGGUGCCUUCGGGAACCGUGAGACAGGUGCUGCAUGGCUGUCGUCAGCUCGUGUUGUGAAAUGUUGGGUUAAGUCCCGCAACGAGCGCAACCCUUAUCCUUUGUUGCCAGCGGUCCGGCCGGGAACUCAAAGGAGACUGCCAGUGAUAAACUGGAGGAAGGUGGGGAUGACGUCAAGUCAUCAUGGCCCUUACGACCAGGGCUACACACGUGCUACAAUGGCGCAUACAAAGAGAAGCGACCUCGCGAGAGCAAGCGGACCUCAUAAAGUGCGUCGUAGUCCGGAUUGGAGUCUGCAACUCGACUCCAUGAAGUCGGAAUCGCUAGUAAUCGUGGAUCAGAAUGCCACGGUGAAUACGUUCCCGGGCCUUGUACACACCGCCCGUCACACCAUGGGAGUGGGUUGCAAAAGAAGUAGGUAGCUUAACCUUCGGGAGGGCGCUUACCACUUUGUGAUUCAUGACUGGGGUGAAGUCGUAACAAGGUAACCGUAGGGGAACCUGCGGUUGGAUCACCUCCUUACCU
This 1547-nucleotide ribosomal RNA is filed under the name Salmonella enterica. RNAcentral's name for it is "bacterial SSU rRNA". It matches the Rfam family "Bacterial small subunit ribosomal RNA". The record is from RNAcentral. Lineage: Bacteria; Pseudomonadati; Pseudomonadota; Gammaproteobacteria; Enterobacterales; Enterobacteriaceae.